CCUACGGGAGGCAGCAGUGAGGAAUAUUGGUCAAUGGUCGGGAGACUGAACCAGCCAAGCCGCGUGAGGGAGGAAGGUACAGAGUAUCGUAAACCUCUUUUGUCAGGGAACAAAGGCGGGGACGUGUCCCCGGAUGAGUGUACCUGAAGAAAAAGCAUCGGCUAACUCCGUGCCAGCAGCCGCGGUAAUACGGAGGAUGCGAGCGUUAUCCGGAUUUAUUGGGUUUAAGGGGUGCGCAGGCCGUCUGUUAAGUCAUCGGUAAAAGCCCGGGGCUCAACCCCGGCCCGCCGUUGAAACUGGCAGUCUCGAGUUGGAGAGAAGUAUGCGGAAUGCGCGGUGUAGCGGUGAAAUGCAUAGAUAUCGCGCAGAACUCCGAUUGCGAAGGCAGCAUGCCGGCUCCACACUGACGCUGAGGCACGAAAGCGUGGGUAUCGAACAGGAUUAGAUACCCCAGUAGUC
This 459-nucleotide ribosomal RNA is filed under the name uncultured bacterium. Its description in RNAcentral is "partial 16S ribosomal RNA". It matches the Rfam family "Bacterial small subunit ribosomal RNA", at positions 338 to 795 of the family's 1533-position model. The record is from RNAcentral.